Molecule: transfer RNA, 72 nt
Filed under: Candidatus Wolfebacteria bacterium CG03_land_8_20_14_0_80_36_15
Lineage: Bacteria; Candidatus Wolfeibacteriota
Description: tRNA-Val
Rfam family: tRNA
About the family: Transfer RNA (tRNA) molecules are approximately 80 nucleotides in length. Their secondary structure includes four short double-helical elements and three loops (D, anti-codon, and T loops). Further hydrogen bonds mediate the characteristic L-shaped molecular structure. tRNAs have two regions of fundamental functional importance: the anti-codon, which is responsible for specific mRNA codon recognition, and the 3' end, to which the tRNAs corresponding amino acid is attached (by aminoacyl-tRNA synthetases). tRNAs cope with the degeneracy of the genetic code in two manners: having more than one tRNA (with a specific anti-codon) for a particular amino acid; and 'wobble' base-pairing, i.e. permitting non-standard base-pairing at the 3rd anti-codon position.
Source: RNAcentral
GGACGCUUAGUUCAGUGGUAGAACAUUCCGUUCACAUCGGAAAGGUCGCAGGUUCAAUUCCUGCAGCGUCCA